This 269-nucleotide ribosomal RNA is filed under the name uncultured prokaryote. RNAcentral describes it as "partial 16S ribosomal RNA". It matches the Rfam family "Bacterial small subunit ribosomal RNA", at positions 524 to 792 of the family's 1533-position model. The record is from RNAcentral.
UACGUAGGUGGCGAGCGUUGUCCGGAUUUACUGGGCGUAAAGGGAGCGUAGGCGGACUUUUAAGUGAGGUGUGAAAUACCCGGGCUCAACUUGGGUGCUGCAUUUCAAACUGGAAGUCUAGAGUGCAGGAGAGGAGAAUGGAAUUCCUAGUGUAGCGGUGAAAUGCGUAGAGAUUAGGAAGAACACCAGUGGCGAAGGCGAUUCUCUGGACUGUAACUGACGCUGAGGCUCGAAAGCGUGGGGAGCAAACAGGAUUAGAUACCCUGGUA